This 23-nucleotide non-coding RNA is filed under the name Mus musculus (house mouse). Lineage: Eukaryota; Metazoa; Chordata; Mammalia; Rodentia; Muridae. The record is from RNAcentral.
UGAAUGGAUUUAACAGGCAGGGA